This 322-nucleotide ribosomal RNA is filed under the name uncultured eukaryote. RNAcentral describes it as "partial 18S ribosomal RNA". It matches the Rfam family "Eukaryotic small subunit ribosomal RNA", at positions 1470 to 1796 of the family's 1831-position model. The record is from RNAcentral.
CCCUUAGAUGUUCUGGGCCGCACGCGUGCUACACUGAGUAAUUCAAUGGGUAAGGGAACGCUAGAGCAUUACCUAAUCUUGAAAUUUGCUCGUGAUGGAGAUCGACGGUUGCAAUUUUCCGUCGUGAACGAGGAAUACCUUGUAGGCGCAUGUCAUCAUCAUGCGCCGAAUACGUCCCUGCCCUUUGUACACACCGCCCGUCGCUCCUACCGAUUGAGUGAUCCGGUGAGGCUCUGGGACCUGGACGGAAAGAGCGUUUCGCUUGUUCUGUUUGGGAAACUUGGUCGAACCUUAUCAUUUAGAGGAAGGAGAAGUCGUAACA